UUGAAUAUAGCUAAGUCAGGUGCCCUGUAGAGGGCUUAAUAGGGAAGUCCGGUGUAAUACCGGCGCGGUCCCGCCACUGUAAUGGGGAGCAAACCCGAAGAUAUACCACUGGGACGAGAGUCUUGGGAAGGUUUGGGAGAGCUAUGAUCCAGAGCCAGGAGAACUGCCUGUCUGAAGAUCGCCGUU
RNAcentral lists this non-coding RNA (186 nucleotides) under uncultured Sporomusa sp. The record is from RNAcentral. Lineage: Bacteria; Bacillati; Bacillota; Negativicutes; Selenomonadales; Sporomusaceae.